Molecule: ribosomal RNA, 384 nt
Filed under: uncultured bacterium
Lineage: Bacteria
Description: bacterial SSU rRNA
Rfam family: Bacterial small subunit ribosomal RNA
Source: RNAcentral
AUUGAACGCUGGCGGCAUGCCUUACACAUGCAAGUCGAGCGCGAAAGGGGGCAACCCCGAGUAGAGCGGCGGACGGGUGAGUAACGCAUCGGAACGUGCCCAGUAGUGGGGGACAACCUCGAGAAAUCGAGGCUAAUACCGCAUACGACCCACGGGUGAAAGCGGGGGACCGCAAGGCCUCGCGCUAUUGGAGCGGCCGAUGUCCGAUUAGCUAGUUGGCGGGGUAAGAGCCCACCAAGGCGACGAUCGGUAGCUGGUCUGAGAGGACGACCAGCCACACUGGGACUGAGACACGGCCCAGACUCCUACGGGAGGCAGCAGUGGGGAAUUUUGGACAAGUGGGGGCAACCCUGAUCCAGCCAUGCCGCGUGCGGGAAGAAGGCC